Molecule: ribosomal RNA, 553 nt
Filed under: uncultured bacterium
Lineage: Bacteria
Description: partial 16S ribosomal RNA
Rfam family: Bacterial small subunit ribosomal RNA
Source: RNAcentral
UGGGGAAUUUUGGACAAUGGGCGAAAGCCUGAUCCAGCAAUGCCGCGUGUGUGAAGAAGGCCUUCGGGUUGUAAAGCACUUUUGUCCGGAAAGAAAUCCUUGGCUCUAAUACAGUCGGGGGAUGACGGUACCGGAAGAAUAAGCACCGGCUAACUACAUGCCAGCAGCCGCGGUAAUACGUAGGGUGCAAGCGUUAAUCGGAAUUACUGGGCGUAAAGCGUGCGCAGGCGGUUUGCUAAGACCGAUGUGAAAUCCCCGGGCUCAACCUGGGAACUGCAUUGGUGACUGGCAGGCUAGAGUAUGGCAGAGGGGGGUAGAAUUCCACGUGUAGCAGUGAAAUGCGUAGAGAUGUGGAGGAAUACCGAUGGCGAAGGCAGCCCCCUGGGCCAAUACUGACGCUCAUGCACGAAAGCGUGGGGAGCAAACAGGAUUAGAUACCCUGGUAGUCCACGCCCUAAACGAUGUCAACUAGUUGUUGGGGAUUCAUUUCCUUAGUAACGUAGCUAACGCGUGAAGUUGACCGCCUGGGGGAGUACGGUCGCAAGAUUAAAAC